This 450-nucleotide long non-coding RNA is filed under the name Prunus dulcis (almond). RNAcentral describes it as "sRNA ncRNA". The record is from RNAcentral. Lineage: Eukaryota; Viridiplantae; Streptophyta; Magnoliopsida; Rosales; Rosaceae.
UUUAACCCUACCAACUAUAUAAACAUGCACAACUCAUUUCCCGUUUCAAUCAACAUCUAACAAUCCAACCUUCUCUGGUACAAAGAAAACACCUUAAACUUCUCAUAUAAAGAAACAAAAAUGGUAUUCAACACGAAGCUUCUUUUGGCCAUCUGCUGCGUUGCAUUAGUCUUCACUCUUGUCUCUGCAAAUAUUUCCCAAGCAGAGAUCGAUGGCUUCCUCGAGGAGCACAACAAGGCUCGUAAAGAGGUCGGCAACAAACCCCUUAAGUGGAACACAACCUUGGCCCAGUAUGCCCAAGAAUAUGCCAACAAAAGAGUUGACGACUGCGCUAUGGAGCACUCAAGGGGGCGUUGGGGUGAGAACUUGACAUCGGGCGACGGCAUGACCGGCGCAGCUGGCACUAUCGUGCUACGGCGGAGUUGACAAUAUCGUGCUACGGCGGAGUUG